RNAcentral lists this ribosomal RNA (377 nucleotides) under uncultured bacterium. RNAcentral's name for it is "bacterial SSU rRNA". It matches the Rfam family "Bacterial small subunit ribosomal RNA", at positions 28 to 410 of the family's 1533-position model. The record is from RNAcentral.
GACGAACGCUGGCGGCGUGCUUAACACAUGCAAGUCGAGCGGUAAGGCCCUUUUGGGGGUACACGAGCGGCGAACGGGUGAGUAACACGUGGGUGACCUGCCCUCAGCUCUGGGAUAAGCCUGGGAAACUGGGUCUAAUACUGGAUAUGACCUUUCCUCGCAUGGGGUUGGGUGAAAGUUUUUCGGCUGGGGAUGGCCCGCGGCCUAUCAGCUUGUUGGUGGGGUGAUGGCCUACCAAGGCGACGACGGGUAGCCGGCCUGAGAGGGCGACCGGCCACACUGGGACUGAGACACGGCCCAGACUCCUACGGGAGGCAGCAGUGGGGAAUAUUGCGCAAUGGGCGGAAGCCUGACGCAGCGACGCCGCGUGGGGGAUG